RNAcentral lists this ribosomal RNA (454 nucleotides) under uncultured Prevotella sp. Its description in RNAcentral is "partial 16S ribosomal RNA". It matches the Rfam family "Bacterial small subunit ribosomal RNA", at positions 341 to 792 of the family's 1533-position model. Lineage: Bacteria; Pseudomonadati; Bacteroidota; Bacteroidia; Bacteroidales; Prevotellaceae. The record is from RNAcentral.
ACGGGAGGCAGCAGUGAGGAAUAUUGGUCAAUGGGCGGGAGCCUGAACCAGCCAAGUAGCGUGGAGGAUGACGGCCCUACGGGUUGUAAACUCCUUUUGCCGGGGGAUAAAAAACGGGACGCGUCCCGUCUUGCAGGUACCCGUGCGAAUAAGGACCGGCUAAUUCCGUGCCAGCAGCCGCGGUAAUACGGAAGGUCCGAGCGUUAUCCGGAUUUAUUGGGUUUAAAGGGAGCGCAGGCGGAGAUGUAAGCCAGCCGUUAAAUCGUGGGGCUCAACCCCAUCUUGCGGUUGGAACUGCAUCCCUUGAGUGCACGAGAGGAUGGUGGAAUUCGUGGUGUAGCGGUGAAAUGCAUAGAUAUGACGAAGAACUCCGAUUGCGAAGGCAGCCUACUGUAGCGUUACUGACGCUAAAGCUCGAAAGUGUGGGUAUCGAACAGGAUUAGAUACCCUGGUA